This is a long non-coding RNA of Cyprinus carpio (common carp), 399 nucleotides long. Lineage: Eukaryota; Metazoa; Chordata; Actinopteri; Cypriniformes; Cyprinidae. The record is from Ensembl.
CGUGGCGGCCCUGACACAUGUCGAGCGGCGUGCAGCCAACCCACGGACGAGCACGAGUCGCUCCUGCAUAAUUUGAAGUCAUCCAUGGCAGUGCUUUGAGAAUCCUUCCCCGCGUUCCCCAUGACUUGAACGGAGCAUCGCUCAGCGCCGUGAUGGCUCUAUUCAUACUCAGACAGAAGCCCUGCUGGCCUGAGGGUCACAUGAGGACCUCUCCAUGACCCCUGACCACAGUUUGAACCAAGACCCUACAGUUCAUCCAUAUCUGCGGCUGUAGAGAAGGUCACUGCAGAGUUCAAAGACAUAACACGCAGAAUGAGGUUUGUAAUUAAAAUGUGAAAAGUUUGUUAAAUCAGAGUUUGCGAAUAAUUAGUUAUAAUAAUAAUCAGCUGCUUUACAAAA